UUUCAAAAAAUCCUCGCUUUCAGCGCCAUCUUCCUUGCAGACUGGACGACCAUUUUUCGUAGUUCGCAUUUCCCCUUUCUCAUGCUUCCCCAAAUCACACACUAGUUCAGUGCCAAACACUUCUUAUUACAAAAUACUGUAGAUUCUUCUUUGUCCUUUGAACUAGACAUUAUAUUUGUAUUUCUAUCCAAAUCCAUCCAAGACUGUUCUUCCACAUUAUUUUAAUUCAAUCAGGUAAAUAUUCGGAGUUUUGUCUAUUUAUGGACAAAUUUUCAUUUUUUUGUGGAAAAAUAUACUUCUUUUGGUGAUUUUUAUAGUUAACACGGUUGACACUACUUCCUUUCAGUUUCAGGCUUGAAAGUUUGAAGUAGACUGCCAUUCCUUUAAGUUUCAAGCUUGAUACUUGCAUUAUGUUUAUCGGUUAAUUUGGUUAAUGCUCAUUAGUUGUUGAGUAGAAUGGUUAAUUACUUAAGAUCCAGUUAAUACUGGUUGGUGAUAUUUGAAUAUCCAUUUUAGUGUAAUUUUUAUUUGAAUUUUCAGUUAGUAUCAUCAAUCUCCUGAUAUUUGAAUUUUUUAAUGUAACUUGAAUAUUUGGUUAAUGCUUUCUGGAUGGUAUAAUAAAUUUGCUCGAUUAUGAAGUGUAGUCAUUGGUGUAUUUAAAUUGGCUGGAUGAGGAACUGAGAUAGACUGUAACGAACUUUGUUGGAUAAAUGAAAUUUUCUGUUUAUUUUAAUUGCCUUUCCAUUUAAAUAUGCGAAGCAAAAUUGUUUUUAUUAUUGUUGUGCUUUAAAGUUACAAUUGAGCUGAUGAUUAGGCUUUCGUGUUUCAUCAAAAUUCUUGACAUUCUUGGUUAGCUUUUCUUCGUUCUUUAUUUUAAAAUGUUAAGACAUCCUCAGAAUUUGAUCGAUCUUUGGACUAGAAGAAAUAUUUCCAUAGUUCAUUACUCAUUGGUUCAGUAACUUCUGUUUUUAACAUGAUAGAAUCAGAUUUAAGGGUUAAAGUCUUGUUCAUAGUUGGACAGGAUUGGAACUGAGUGGUCUGGAUCCGGUUAUUUAUGUGGAGCAGUUGGUUCAAUUUGCACAAUUCCGAAAGGGAAUCGGAGAGCUGGACCAUACCUGACCAUGCCCACUUUAAUCUUGGCAAUGUGGCAUUGGUUUACUUCAAUGUAUUAAAAAUGGUGUUGUUUUAUAUUUGAAUGAGAUUGCAAUCAUUUUCUUCAACUAAUUCAUCAAUUGUUUCUUACCCCUGGAAAUUGAUCUCUGUAGUUGAUCAUCUCGAGCUCCCGUGCUUAUUUCUUCAUGCACUAGCUGCUGACAACCAUCACAGUCUGAAACUGAUUGACUAUAGCCCCUCUGCUGCAAAAUCAAUUAAUAUAGACAUUACGCCCUCGGGGCAUAUCCCAAUGAUACAAAGGACAAGGGUGAGGGCUUUGCUGACAGCCGCAGUGUAAGGGUUUGAUUUAUGAAACAUGGAUUGAGACUCUUUGUGGACAUCAGUGUACAGGCAGCUCUUGUUUCCUAGCCUGUUAGGACACAUCUUGCGAUUAACCUCUCUCAUGACGAUCCAGAGCGGGACGGUGGGAUGGUAUAAUAAAUUUGCUCGAUUAUGAAGUGUAGUCAUUGGUGUAUUUAAAUUGGCUGGAUGAGGAACUGAGAUAGACUGUAACUUUCUUUGUUGGAUAAAUGAAAUUUUCUGUUUAUUUUAAUUGCCUUUCCAUUUAAAUAUGCGAAGCAAAAUUGUUUUUAUUAUUGUUGUGCUUUAAAGUUACAAUUGAGCUGAUGAUUAGGCUUUCGUGUUUCAUCAAAAUUCUUGACAUUCUUGGUUAGCUUUUCUUCGUUCUUUAUUUUAAAAUGUUAAGACAUCCUCAGAAUUUGAUCGAUCUUUGGACUAGAAGAAAUAUUUCCAUAGUUCAUUACUCAUUGGUUCAGUAACUUCUGUUUUUAACAUGAUAGAAUCAGAUUUAAGGGUUAAAGUCUUGUUCAUAGUUGGACAGGAUUGGAACUGAGUGGUCUGGAUCCGGUUAUUUAUGUGGAGCAGUUGGUUCAAUUUGCACAAUUCCGAAAGGGAAUCGGAGAGCUGGACCAUACCUGACCAUGCCCACUUUAAUCUUGGCAAUGUGGCAUUGGUUUACUUCAAUGUAUUAAAAAUGGUGUUGUUUUAUAUUUGAAUGAGAUUGCAAUCAUUUUCUUCAACUAAUUCAUCAAUUGUUUCUAACCCCUGGAAAUUGAUCUCUGUAGUUGAUCAUCUCGAGCUCCCGUGCUUAUUUCUUCAUGCACUAGCUGCUGACAACCAUCACAGUCUGAAACUGAUUGACUAUAG
Molecule: long non-coding RNA, 2319 nt
Filed under: Olea europaea (common olive)
Lineage: Eukaryota; Viridiplantae; Streptophyta; Magnoliopsida; Lamiales; Oleaceae
Description: long non-coding RNA (OEUR_LNC006066)
Source: RNAcentral